GACGAACGCUGGCGGCGUGCUUAACACAUGCAAGUCGAACGGUGAAGCGCCUUCCUUUUUGGUGGGUGUGGAUGAGUGGCGAACGGGUGAGUAACACGUGAGUAACCCGCCCCCUUCUUCUGGAUAACCGCAUGAAAGUGUGGCUAAUACGGGAUAUUCUGGGUCUGUCGCAUGAUGGGUCUGGGAAAGAUAUUGUUUCGGUGGGGGAUGGGCUCGCGGCCUAUCAGCUUGUUGGUGGGGUGAUGGCCUACCAAGGCGGUGACGGGUAGCCGGCCUGAGAGGGUGGACGGUCACACUGGGACUGAGACACGGCCCAGACUCCUACGGGAGGCAGCAGUGGGGAAUAGUGCACAAUGGGCGCAAGCCUGAUGCAGCGACGCCGCGUGAGGGAUGGAGGCCUUCGGGUUGUGAACCUCUUUCGCCAGUGAAGCAGGCCUGCCUCGUUUGUGGGUGGGUUGACGGUAGCUGGAUAAGAAGCGCCGGCUAACUACGUG
RNAcentral lists this ribosomal RNA (494 nucleotides) under uncultured bacterium. RNAcentral's name for it is "partial 16S ribosomal RNA". It matches the Rfam family "Bacterial small subunit ribosomal RNA", at positions 28 to 507 of the family's 1533-position model. The record is from RNAcentral.